This 402-nucleotide ribosomal RNA is filed under the name uncultured bacterium. Its description in RNAcentral is "bacterial SSU rRNA". It matches the Rfam family "Bacterial small subunit ribosomal RNA", at positions 355 to 774 of the family's 1533-position model. The record is from RNAcentral.
UGGGGAAUCUUGGACAAUGGGCGCAAGCCUGAUCCAGCCAUGCCGCGUGAGUGAAGAAGGCCUUAGGGUUGUAAAGCUCUUUUGGCAGGGACGAUAAUGACGGUACCUGCAGAAUAAGCCCCGGCAAACUUCGUGCCAGCAGCCGCGGUAAUACGAAGGGGGCUAGCGUUGUUCGGAUUUACUGGGCGUAAAGCGCACGUAGGCGGAUUGUUAAGUCAGGGGUGAAAUCCCGGAGCUCAACUCCGGAACUGCCUUUGAUACUGGCAAUCUUGAGGCUGGAAGAGGUUGGUAGAAUUCCCAGUGUAGAGGUGAAAUUCGUAGAUAUUGGGAAGAAUACCAGUGGCGAAGGCGGCCAACUGGUCCAGAUCUGACGCUGAGGUGCGAAAGCGUGGGGAGUAAACA